RNAcentral lists this ribosomal RNA (336 nucleotides) under Rucervus duvaucelii (barasingha). RNAcentral's name for it is "partial 12S ribosomal RNA". It matches the Rfam family "Bacterial small subunit ribosomal RNA", at positions 858 to 1391 of the family's 1533-position model. The record is from RNAcentral. Lineage: Eukaryota; Metazoa; Chordata; Mammalia; Artiodactyla; Cervidae.
AACAAAACUACUCGCCAGAGUACUACCGGCAAUAGCUUAAAACUCAAAGGACUUGGCGGUGCUUUAUACCCUUCUAGAGGAGCCUGUUCUAUAAUCGAUAAACCCCGAACCUCACCAUUCCUGGCUAAUUCAGUCUAUAUACCGCCAUCUUCAGCAAACCCUAAAAAGGUAAAGGCAAAAUCACACAUAAAAACGUUAGGUCAAGGUGUAACCUAUGGAAUGGGAAGAAAUGGGCUACAUUUUCUAAUAGAAAAUCUAAUACGAAAGUUAUUAAAUCUAAAGGAGGAUUUAGCAGUAAAUGAAAGUGCUUUGAAUGCCAUGAAGCACGCACACACC